Pelobates cultripes (western spadefoot toad) is the source of this 1041-nucleotide non-coding RNA. The record is from the annotation of a GenBank genome assembly. Lineage: Eukaryota; Metazoa; Chordata; Amphibia; Anura; Pelobatidae.
CUGAUAACAGGUCCACCUGGUUAGCCAAAACGCGUUUCACCGAAAAAACGGCUUCCUCAGUCAGCUCCUGAUGGUGUCAUGGGUUGAGUCCCCUUUUAAAUGUUCGAAAUUCCCGCCUAAAAUUUCCUCUCCUCGUUUGUAUUAGUUGCGUCUGGUGUCCUCAGAAUGGCGUCACGUCAUUUCCGCCCGUCUGUACUACAGGUUCCAUCAUGCUUUGUGUUGAUUGACGUCACUUCCGGUUUUCGCGGGCAAAAUGCUGUCGCGUCACUUCCGGUUUCGGGUACUACAUGUCCCAUGGUGCAAUGGCACCUCGAUCUCAUUUAAUUGAAGUAACACCUAUUUCUUUGUAGUCCAUUUCCUCCACAACCAUACUCAGGGCAUAUCAAAAGAUAAAUAUAUCAGUAGCAUAGUAACAAAAUACAAGAAAGGAGAAAGGACAAUGAUAACAAUGUACAUAUAACAACAAAUGUCUCCAUACAACAAUCAAUAUUAUUUAGCAAUGUAUCAAAGAGGGCCUUUGUGUUAAUCUGAUAUUUAAAAUGCAUAUCGACCAAAAACAGUAAAACACUCCCAAGCGUCAUGUAUCUGAUGGAUAUGGUGCUGGAGAGAAAGAAAACAGCAGCUAUAAGAAAAGGCUAAUCUCUCUCUAAUUUAUGUUUUCAUCUUUCAAGUAAAUCCAUAACCCCUAACAGCAGUGUCCAGUCAAGCAGGAAGUCAAUGGGCAUGGUAAAAGGGUGUGCUACUGACACAAAUCAUAAAUGCAUCUAAUGAUGCGCUCGCUCAACGUUUUCUAAGGACUGUCCCCUAGCACUCGCUGGUCCACUUGCCUCCUUACCUUCUUACUAGCAGGCAGAAGCUCCUGGUAUAUAGUCUGGGACAGAGAAAAGCUGUAUGUAGUGAGUGUAGAAGAAAGGGAACAUGCCACAGUGUUAGAGGGACCAAAGUCAGCAUUACUUUAAAGGAUCACUAUAGGGUCAGGAACACAAACAUGAAUUCAUGACCCUAUAGUGUUAACACCACCAUCUAGUCCCCCUGGGCCCC